RNAcentral lists this transfer RNA (82 nucleotides) under Apaloderma vittatum (bar-tailed trogon). It matches the Rfam family "tRNA". Rfam says of the family: Transfer RNA (tRNA) molecules are approximately 80 nucleotides in length. Their secondary structure includes four short double-helical elements and three loops (D, anti-codon, and T loops). Lineage: Eukaryota; Metazoa; Chordata; Aves; Trogoniformes; Trogonidae. The record is from Rfam by way of RNAcentral.
GGCCGGUUAGCUCAGUGGUUUGAGCGCGGUGCUGGAACAAUGACCAACACCGAGGUCGCAGGUUCGAUUCCCACUCCGUCCC